GCCAACUCUAUGAUUCUAUGAAAUCCAAACUGGGUGCCUAAAUCCCUGUUGAAAACAUCUUAUAGUACAUGAUAUCUACAAUAUUAGAAAUGGUCUAGCUCCCACAUGUCCUCUCUGGAAGUGACAGGUACAAGAGAAAAAGAUUGACCUGGUGACAUAAAGCUGACAUCUCUGUGGCCUCCUCUGUAUGUUACAGGAGGACUGCUAUUACAAUACACACAAAAUCAAGAAUCCAAAAUAUUCCAUGAAUUUAGGACAUCAGAAGG
This 266-nucleotide long non-coding RNA is filed under the name Crocodylus porosus (Australian saltwater crocodile). Its description in RNAcentral is "lncRNA (ENSCPRG00005009633.1)". The record is from RNAcentral. Lineage: Eukaryota; Metazoa; Chordata; Crocodylia; Crocodylidae.